RNAcentral lists this ribosomal RNA (837 nucleotides) under Triticum aestivum (bread wheat). RNAcentral describes it as "partial small subunit ribosomal RNA". The record is from RNAcentral. Lineage: Eukaryota; Viridiplantae; Streptophyta; Magnoliopsida; Poales; Poaceae.
AUGAUGGAGCGUGAAUUCCGCCCUGGGUUCAUUCAUUCCCUCAGAAAGCUGGGCUCGUCUAGGGUGUUUGUUAGCAGCGUUAGGUUUAUCGUGAAGUCGACGAGGCAAUUGUUCGUGGUGGGUGAUGAGGACGGGUACAUCCACGUGCAUCACUGUAUGACAAUGAAGAGAGUCAAGGAAUUCAAAGCUCACGGCAGUGCGGUCACAUCAUUCGCCCUUCACCCGACUCAACCGUUUGUGCUGUCGGCAUCUCGCGACCAACUAAUCAAGCUCUGGAACUGGGAGAAGGGCUGGGUGUGCAUCAGGACAUUCACUGGGCACUCAGCCACGGUGAACCAAGUCAAGUUUAAUCCGCAUGACAACAACACUUUUGCAAGUGCUUCCGGGGACGGCACAGUGAAGACCUGGGGAAUUUUUUCUCCCACUCAUUUCACCAGCCUCAACUGCCAAGAGGGGCAGCGCUCUGUUGAUUACUAUCCCACGGGUGGUGAUCAGCAGCAGCAGCACUACAUGGUUACAGGAUCGGAAUGGCAGUUGAGACCGGACAAUGCGACGGCACGCAUCUGGGAUUUGCGAACACAGACAUGUAUCCGUGAAAUCAAGGGGCUCGAGUCAUACUGUGAAGUUGGUGUGAUCGAUUGCCAUCCAGAUCGUCCAGCAGUGUUGGUUACUGCGUCAGGCGGCUGUGGUGUUUCUCUCCACGACUCCACAACCUACAGGUGUGAGAGAACGGUUCAUUUCGGUCUCGGCAAGGUUGUAUGUGUUGCAUACGUCAAGGGAGCAAGAAGCCUCGCUAUUGGACAUGAGCGAGGAGUUGCAAUCAUGGAAAUCGAUUAA